GUCCUAGCCCUAAACGGUGCACGUUUGCUGUAAGAGGAAUCGACCCCUUUUGUGGCGAAGCUAACGCGUUAAACGUGCCGCCUGGGAAGUACGGCCGCAAGGUUAAAACUCAAAGAAAUUGACGGGGGCCUGCACAAGCGGUGGAGUAUGUGGCUUAAUUCGAUGCAACGCGAAGAACCUUACCUGGCCUUGACAUGCAAGUAGUAGAACCGUGAAAGCGGGACGAGGUAGCAAUACCAGCUUGCACAGGUGCUGCAUGGCUGUCGU
RNAcentral lists this ribosomal RNA (267 nucleotides) under uncultured bacterium. Its description in RNAcentral is "partial 16S ribosomal RNA". It matches the Rfam family "Bacterial small subunit ribosomal RNA", at positions 793 to 1055 of the family's 1533-position model. The record is from RNAcentral.